UAUUGUUUUGUGCUUUUCUUCCUUUCAUCGUUUUUGCUUUGCGCAUAUAUGACAUUCAUUGUUCGUUUCUCUUUCUCUGUGGGUUUCUAGGGGUUUCUAUGUAAUUGUCAUAGCUUUAAAUGUGCUACUCUCCUUGUUUCUUCUGUCUAUUUUCAAUUUAUUUCUCUUGUUUCUUUCUUCAUUCUCAUAGAUUUCAUUGCUUAUCUUCGCAUUUGUUCUUACUUUCUAAAAUUGAUUUCACGAAUAUUAUUGGUGGUCAAGAUUUAAGACUUUCGAUCUCAUAACAACAUUUUGAAGAUUAAAUCUUCUCAUGGUCUCGAUCCUUGAAAGGAGCCUUACGGUGUGAGAGCUUGUGAUUCAAGUAUGAUACUGUCGUCUUCUCCUGAUUUCUAUGCAAGGGCUUCUACCCAAGGAGCUUAGCUGAUUGAGCACAAAAAGCUUUUGUUGUAUAGAUUCAAGAUUCUACAAAUUCAAUUUGUCUUUUGAGAGUUGGUGACAUGACGAUUUGGGUUUUAUCUUGAUUUUGUUUUAAACCAAGUGGGAUGGUGAGAGUGAGACCUUGGUUAUGGUUGGGAGAUAUCGAGUAACUUUUUGUGGGAAUCAAAUUAGUGGUGUAGGUUGUGGAUCAUUUCUUCUUUAUACUGUAACUGUAUUUGGUUUGCAAUUGGUGUAUAUAAUAUUUUUUUUUAAUUAACAAUUCUAGCAACAUGAGGAUUUAUCUUAAUUAAUAAGUCAUCAUUAAUUAAUUAACGAUGAACACAUAUUUAUAUUUUUCUAUCUUAUUUCCUUGCAUGACUCGACAUUUGUCCAUGUGUAUUUAUCUCCCUCCCUUAUAACUACUUUCCCUGUCUUCCUUCUUCUCACUCUCCCCAUCUCUCUUCCACCUCUCUCUCUCUCCCCUCCUCCCUCUUUCUUGAACCACUUCCGUUUGCCACUUUCCCUUUCUUUUCUACCUCUCUUCUCGAUUCAUUGUUUUCCUCGCUCUCUUUGCACUCUCUCUCUCUCUCUCUUCCCUCACUCUGUUGCUAAUUAAGGUUUUAGUAUGGGUUUGUUUAUCAAUGAUAUUUGCAGUGCCAAGGUGUGUGGAAGCCUGGAUUUCAAAACCGAGGAAGCACUACGAAAAAAAGCUUUUGGUCCACCCCCUUUUUCCAACAAAUUCUUUUCUUAAAUUUUCUUUAUACAAUACAAAAUGCACGCAAGGACAUCUCUGGAUCUUUGUUGCAGUUGUUAUACUAUUGGUGGUUGGGAUCUAAGACUUUCGAUCACAUAACAAUAUUUUGAAGAUUGAAUCUUCUCGUGGUUUCGAUCCUUGAAAGGGGUCUUACGAUGUGAGAGCUCGUGAUUCAAGUACGCUACAUUGUCUUUUUGCGAUUUCUAUGCUAGGGCUUCUACUCGAGGAGCUUAGCUGAUUGAGGACAAAAAACUUUUGUUGUAUAGAUUUAGGAUUCUACAUGACAAAAAGCUGGUUGGUGACAUGACGAUUUGGGUUUGAUCUUGAUUUUGUUUUAAACCAUGUGGGAUGCUGAGAGUGAGACCUUGGUUGUCGCCAUGUAAUAUUGUGUAACUUUUUGUGGGUAAAUCAAAUUAGUACUAUAGGUUGUGGUUGGUGUAAAAUUUCCUUUUGUGGAAAAAAUUUGCCGACAUUAAUUGUACCAUUUCUUCUUUA
This is a long non-coding RNA of Nelumbo nucifera (sacred lotus), 1666 nucleotides long. RefSeq lists it as uncharacterized. NCBI's taxonomy places the organism in Eukaryota, Viridiplantae, Streptophyta, Magnoliopsida, Proteales, Nelumbonaceae. The record is from RefSeq and is a predicted model, not a curated record.